RNAcentral lists this ribosomal RNA (1372 nucleotides) under uncultured bacterium. RNAcentral's name for it is "bacterial SSU rRNA". It matches the Rfam family "Bacterial small subunit ribosomal RNA", at positions 28 to 1381 of the family's 1533-position model. The record is from RNAcentral.
GAUGAACGCUGGCGGCGUGCCUAAUACAUGCAAGUCGAGCGAACGGACGAGAAGCUUGCUUCUCUGAUGUUAGCGGCGGACGGGUGAGUAACACGUGGAUAACCUACCUAUAAGACUGGGAUAACUUCGGGAAACCGGAGCUAAUACCGGAUAAUAUUUUGAACCGCAUGGUUCAAAAGUGAAAGACGGUCUUGCUGUCACUUAUAGAUGGAUCCGCGCUGCAUUAGCUAGUUGGUAAGGUAACGGCUUACCAAGGCAACGAUGCAUAGCCGACCUGAGAGGGUGAUCGGCCACACUGGAACUGAGACACGGUCCAGACUCCUACGGGAGGCAGCAGUAGGGAAUCUUCCGCAAUGGGCGAAAGCCUGACGGAGCAACGCCGCGUGAGUGAUGAAGGUCUUCGGAUCGUAAAACUCUGUUAUUAGGGAAGAACAUAUGUGUAAGUAACUGUGCACAUCUUGACGGUACCUAAUCAGAAAGCCACGGCUAACUACGUGCCAGCAGCCGCGGUAAUACGUAGGUGGCAAGCGUUAUCCGGAAUUAUUGGGCGUAAAGCGCGCGUAGGCGGUUUUUUAAGUCUGAUGUGAAAGCCCACGGCUCAACCGUGGAGGGUCAUUGGAAACUGGAAAACUCGAGUGCAGAAGAGGAAAGUGGAAUUCCAUGUGUAGCGGUGAAAUGCGCAGAGAUAUGGAGGAACACCAGUGGCGAAGGCGACUUUCUGGUCUGUAACUGACGCUGAUGUGCGAAAGCGUGGGGAUCAAACAGGAUUAGAUACCCUGGUAGUCCGCGCCGUAAACGAUGAGUGCUAAGUGUUAGGGGGUUUCCGCCCCUUAGUGCUGCAGCUAACGCAUUAAGCACUCCGCCUGGGGAGUACGACCGCAAGGUUGAAACUCAAAGGAAUUGACGGGGACCCGCACAAGCGGUGGAGCAUGUGGUUUAAUUCGAAGCAACGCGAAGAACCUUACCAAAUCUUGACAUCCUUUGACAACUCUAGAGAUAGAGCCUUCCCCUUCGGGGGACAAAGUGACAGGUGGUGCAUGGUUGUCGUCAGCUCGUGUCGUGAGAUGUUGGGUUAAGUCCCGCAACGAGCGCAACCCUUAAGCUUAGUUGCCAUCAUUAAGUUGGGCACUCUAAGUUGACUGCCGGUGACAAACCGGAGGAAGGUGGGGAUGACGUCAAAUCAUCAUGCCCCUUAUGAUUUGGGCUACACACGUGCUACAAUGGACAAUACAAAGGGCAGCGAAACCGCGAGGUCAAGCAAAUCCCAUAAAGUUGUUCUCAGUUCGGAUUGUAGUCUGCAACUCGACUACAUGAAGCUGGAAUCGCUAGUAAUCGUAGAUCAGCAUGCUACGGUGAAUACGUUCCCGGGUCU